This 221-nucleotide long non-coding RNA is filed under the name Mytilus galloprovincialis (Mediterranean mussel). The record is from RNAcentral. Lineage: Eukaryota; Metazoa; Mollusca; Bivalvia; Mytilida; Mytilidae.
UUUUUAACUUUUAUCUUAAUAUACAUGAAGUACCUAUUUGCCCGUUAUGUCCGUUCGUCUAUGGUGAUGUCAAAGAUAUAAAAGUCCUUUAGUAAAGAACAUAAUUUGUACCAAUCGUCACAACUCGGCCGAUUCCGUACCUCAUCUAACAUAGAAAUAGAGUAGCGGAUUCACCCGGGGAUUGCCGAUUGAUACAAGAAUCAUUCGUCACAACUCGGCCG